AUGGUAGGAUAGAGGCCUACCAUGGUGGUAACGGGUAACGGGGUGUUAGGGCACGACACCGGAGAGGGAGCCUGAGAAACGGCUACCACAUCCAAGGAUGGCAGCAGGCGCGCAAAUUACCCAAUCCCGACACGGGGAGGUAGUGACAAUAAAUAACAAUACGGGGUUCUUUAGGAUCUCGUAAUUGGAAUGAGUACAAUUUAAAUCUCUUAACGAGGAACAAUUGGAGGGCAAGUCUGGUGCCAGCAGCCGCGGUAAUUCCAGCUCCAAUAGCGUAUAUUAAAGUUGUUGCAGUUAAAAAGCUCGUAGUUGAAUUUCGGGGUCAGUAGGUCGGUCGUGCCACUGGUAUGAACUGGUUUUACUGAUUCCUCCCUCUUGAAGAACUGUAAUGCCAUUAAUUUGGUGUUGCAGGGAAUCAGGACUGUUACUUUGAAAAAAUUAGAGUGUUUAAAGCAGGCUUUAGCUUGAAUACAUUAGCAUGGAAUAAUGAAAUAGGACGUUUGAUCCUAUUUUGUUGGUUUCUAGGAUUGACGUAAUGAUUAAUAGGGAUAGUUGGGGGCAUUGGUAUUCAAUUGUCAGAGGUGAAAUUCUUGGAUUUAUUGAAGACUAACUACUGCGAAAGCAUUUGCCAAGGAUGUUUUCAUUAAUCAAGAACGAAAGUUAGGGGAUCGAAGACGAUCAGAUACCGUCGUAGUCUUAACCAUAAACUAUGCCGACUAGGGAUCGGAUGAUGUUAAUUUUUUAAUGACUCAUUCGGCGCCUUACGGGAAACCAAAGUGUUUGGG
Molecule: ribosomal RNA, 785 nt
Filed under: uncultured Glomus
Lineage: Eukaryota; Fungi; Glomeromycota; Glomeromycetes; Glomerales; Glomeraceae
Description: SSU rRNA
Rfam family: Eukaryotic small subunit ribosomal RNA
Source: RNAcentral